This is a long non-coding RNA of Bos indicus x Bos taurus (hybrid cattle), 292 nucleotides long. NCBI's taxonomy places the organism in Eukaryota, Metazoa, Chordata, Mammalia, Artiodactyla, Bovidae. The record is from Ensembl.
AGGCUUUCGGCUAAGCACUUACCUAAUAACACAGAUCUCCAGGUGAUGCCAUUGCACCACCAAGGUGGAGAACCAGUGCCAGUCGCGGCUUUAGUUCGAGAAGCUUCACUACCUCCUCAUGAGGAGGAAGCAAGUCAGUGUCACUGAACUGCGUUCUGUCGCCCUUCACCCCACAGGACUCGGUUCGAGAUAAGAAAAGCAACGUGAUAGCCUUGUCUUACAUCAAAAGGAGCGUAAGGUGAAGCGGAACCACUGGCACAGUAUUGCUGAUUACGCCUGACACAAAGUUCUU